Molecule: ribosomal RNA, 468 nt
Filed under: uncultured bacterium
Lineage: Bacteria
Description: partial 16S ribosomal RNA
Rfam family: Bacterial small subunit ribosomal RNA
Source: RNAcentral
GACGAACGCUGGCGGCGUGCUUAACACAUGCCAGUCGAACGGAAAGGCCCUGCUUUUGUGGGGUGCUCGAGUGGCGAACGGGUGAGUAACACGUGAGUAACCUGCCCUUCACUUUGGGAUAACUUCAGGAAACUGGAGCUAAUCCAGGAUAGGAGCUCCUGCUGCAUGGUGGGGGUUGGAAAGUUGCGGCGGUUGGGGAUGGACGCGCGGCUUAUCCGCUUGUUGGUGGGGUAGUGGGUGACCAAGGCUUUGACGGGUAGCCGGCCUGAGAGGGUGACCGGCCACAUUGGGACUGAGAUACGGCCCAGACGCCUACGGGAGGCAGCAGUGGGGAAUAUUGCGCAGUGGGCGGACGCCUGAUGCAGCGACGCCGCGUGCGGGAUGACGGCCUUCGGGUUGUAAACCGCGUUCGCCUGUGACGAAGCGUGAGUGACGGUAAUGGGUAAAGAAGCACCGGCUAACUACGUG